GACGAACGCUGGCGGCGUGCCUAAUACAUGCAAGUUGAGCGCUGAAGGUUGGUACUUGUACCGACUGGAUGAGCAGCGAACGGGUGAGUAACGCGUGGGGAAUCUGCCUUUGAGCGGGGGACAACAUUUGGAAACGAAUGCUAAUACCGCAUAAAAACUUUAAACACAAGUUUUAAGUUUGAAAGAUGCAGUUGCAUCACUCAAAGAUGAUCCCGCGUUGUAUUAGCUAGUUAGUGAGGUAAAGGCUCACCAAGGCGAUGAUACAUAGCCGACCUGAGAGGGUGAUCGGCCACAUUGGGACUGGGACACGGCCCAAACUCCUACGGGAGGCAGCAGUAGGGAAUCUUCGGCAAUGGACGAAAGUCUGACCGAGCAACGCCGCGUGAGUGAAGAAGGUUUUCGGAUCGUAAAACUCUGUUGGUAGAGAAGAACGUUGGUGAGAGUGGAAAGCUCAUCAAGUGACGGUAACUACCCAGAAAGGGACGGCUAACUACGUG
Molecule: ribosomal RNA, 497 nt
Filed under: uncultured bacterium
Lineage: Bacteria
Description: partial 16S ribosomal RNA
Rfam family: Bacterial small subunit ribosomal RNA
Source: RNAcentral